GUCUCAGAAAGGAAGACGCCCAGGAUGAGCAAUUACAGACGUUGGAAGUACAGGAAACAAAAAUACACAACGAAAUUGUAUAUCCUGAUCACUCUGUUUCCAUAUCUUACCGCAUCCUUUUCUCGUCGCAAAUCCUCAGGACGGCUUUCAUGUUUUUGACACCAGUGACACACCUCAGAGUCUGGAAGCCAAAGAACCAGGCUGAAUGGAAGUACAUCAUGUCCGUAAUGUGUUCUUCUAAUUCUUCUUGUCUCGAGGUUUACACUAAAGAGAAUGGACUGUCAGAGCGGCCAGAGUAAACCAGAGGGGAAGGAAGGUGCUGGGUUGGGUUGGGCACCGACUGGGAGUCGUGUACACACCUAGACCCUCCCUGCGUGUUUCCUAUUUAAUUCCUCAACUCGGCGAGGUGGUCAUUUCUGCUCUCUUAUUAUAGUGGCUGCACCAAACUACGUUCCCACAGACAGUGAACACUUCUACUUCUGAACUAAAACCUACCAACCAUUCCAAGAAGCCUGGCUUCUGAUUCUGCACGUGUUCGUUCACAUCAGCCUUCCAAGAUCUUGGUACUGCACCAUAUGCCUUCAUUUCAAAGACCCAGCCAAUUAAGGAUCUUAAACUGCUGUGAAGACAUAAAAGUGUCCGCAAACAGUAACUAUACAGAGGAUCACUUCCAAGACUGAGAUUUUGUUAUCUCAUUUUAGGCAAUCUAAAUUAAGCCCUGGGGAAACAUUCUACUGCUAAUAAAUAAUGGCUUGUUGUAAUAUGCAUUAUUGCUGAGAUAAUAGGCCACAUCAGUAUCUCUUUGUGUUAUUGUAACCGAAAAAUAAGAGUGGAGAGUCCUACACUGGGUCCCAAUAUUGAGGGAAAACAAAUGUUAAUUUUCAUAGUGUCACGUUUGGUUUAAAUUAUGUGUUCUGAAUGAAGGCAUGUAUUCACCUUCAAUAUAAUGAAUUCAUUUGUUACCCAGCCACAUUUGAUUUCCAUCAAUUUUCGCUCUAAAACAAUUUUGUGUGAUAGGACCCAGAAGAACAAAAACAGUCCAUGACUUAUCAAUACAUUGAAAUUCACUGAGACUAUUGAUGAAAUGUUUAGAUUUUUAAAAAGUGGCUUCAUAAUAAACUUGAAAAGUCUUAUCAUAAAAUGUCUUUAAAAAUCUUAGCUCAGAAUCUGCUCCCUGCUGAGCUGUAUUUCAGAAUGUGUUGAUUUUUUAAAAAAUCCUGAAUCUCUUGUAUAUUCCACUUUUUAACAAAUAUUACCAACUCUCCAGAUAGAAAAAUCAGAGCCUCUGAUUGAUCUCCAAGGUUUGACUUGAGUUUUUAAUUCACAAGAAGGGAUUGCUUGAAAACUGUUUUCCCCUUGUGAUUAUUUUAAAACUUAUUUUGAAAAGACAUUUUUUUCCAAAAUAAAUUUGGAUGGAAUUAGACUCAUGAAAUAAUUGACUUUGGGAAAAUGUACAGUCACUCCAAGGCUUUUGUUUCCAAUUUUGAUCAAGCAUCUCUAAAGCCAUGUAACUCAGUGGGGAUUAAUAGGGAGUGAGUUGGCCACAAAUAAUCGAUGAAAAGAAAGCAACUUAGUACAAUGAUUUUAAAUCCCAAGUUCACAGUUUGCCUGACAGUGGAUAGUCCAGUGAAAUUCAUAGUGGCAAAGAUCUAGAUCUCUACUAAAUGAGAUUUCUGAAAGAAACACUAAACCGCCUAUAUUCUAGGAAUUGUGAUGUUAAAUGAAAAGGACCUUGAGUUUGCUGAUCUUUGUAAUGAUGCAACAGGAAGAGCAUUAAUAAAUGGAAGAUCAUCCUAAA
Vicugna pacos (alpaca) is the source of this 1798-nucleotide non-coding RNA. The record is from RefSeq and is a predicted model, not a curated record. Lineage: Eukaryota; Metazoa; Chordata; Mammalia; Artiodactyla; Camelidae.